RNAcentral lists this ribosomal RNA (165 nucleotides) under uncultured bacterium. RNAcentral's name for it is "partial 16S rRNA". It matches the Rfam family "Bacterial small subunit ribosomal RNA", at positions 355 to 511 of the family's 1533-position model. The record is from RNAcentral.
UAGGGAAUCUUCCACAAUGGACGCAAGUCUGAUGGAGCAACGCCGCGUGAGUGAAGAAGGUCUUCGGAUCGUAAAACUCUGUUGUUAGAGAAGAACACGAGUGAGAGUAACUGUUCAUUUCGAUGACGGUAUCUAACCAGCAAGUCACGGCUAACUACGUACCAG